RNAcentral lists this ribosomal RNA (990 nucleotides) under Microbacterium paraoxydans. RNAcentral describes it as "bacterial SSU rRNA". It matches the Rfam family "Bacterial small subunit ribosomal RNA", at positions 43 to 1042 of the family's 1533-position model. Lineage: Bacteria; Bacillati; Actinomycetota; Actinomycetes; Micrococcales; Microbacteriaceae. The record is from RNAcentral.
CGUGCUUAACACAUGCAAGUCGAACGGUGAAGCAGGAGCUUGCUCUUGUGGAUCAGUGGCGAACGGGUGAGUAACACGUGAGCAACCUGCCCCUGACUCUGGGAUAAGCGCUGGAAACGGCGUCUAAUACUGGAUAUGUGACGUGACCGCAUGGUCUGCGUUUGGAAAGAUUUUUCGGUUGGGGAUGGGCUCGCGGCCUAUCAGCUUGUUGGUGAGGUAAUGGCUCACCAAGGCGUCGACGGGUAGCCGGCCUGAGAGGGUGACCGGCCACACUGGGACUGAGACACGGCCCAGACUCCUACGGGAGGCAGCAGUGGGGAAUAUUGCACAAUGGGCGAAAGCCUGAUGCAGCAACGCCGCGUGAGGGAUGACGGCCUUCGGGUUGUAAACCUCUUUUAGCAGGGAAGAAGCGAAAGUGACGGUACCUGCAGAAAAAGCGCCGGCUAACUACGUGCCAGCAGCCGCGGUAAUACGUAGGGCGCAAGCGUUAUCCGGAAUUAUUGGGCGUAAAGAGCUCGUAGGCGGUUUGUCGCGUCUGCUGUGAAAUCCCGAGGCUCAACCUCGGGCCUGCAGUGGGUACGGGCAGACUAGAGUGCGGUAGGGGAGAUUGGAAUUCCUGGUGUAGCGGUGGAAUGCGCAGAUAUCAGGAGGAACACCGAUGGCGAAGGCAGAUCUCUGGGCCGUAACUGACGCUGAGGAGCGAAAGGGUGGGGAGCAAACAGGCUUAGAUACCCUGGUAGUCCACCCCGUAAACGUUGGGAACUAGUUGUGGGGUCCAUUCCACGGAUUCCGUGACGCAGCUAACGCAUUAAGUUCCCCGCCUGGGGAGUACGGCCGCAAGGCUAAAACUCAAAGGAAUUGACGGGGACCCGCACAAGCGGCGGAGCAUGCGGAUUAAUUCGAUGCAACGCGAAGAACCUUACCAAGGCUUGACAUAUACGAGAACGGGCCAGAAAUGGUCAACUCUUUGGACACUCGUAAACAGGUGGU